Molecule: ribosomal RNA, 799 nt
Filed under: unidentified
Description: bacterial SSU rRNA
Rfam family: Bacterial small subunit ribosomal RNA
Source: RNAcentral
CGUAGGCGGUUUGUCGCGUCUGCCGUGAAAGUCCGGGGCUCAACUCCGGAUCUGCGGUGGGUACGGGCAGACUAGAGUGAUGUAGGGGAGACUGGAAUUCCUGGUGUAGCGGUGAAAUGCGCAGAUAUCAGGAGGAACACCGAUGGCGAAGGCAGGUCUCUGGGCAUUAACUGACGCUGAGGAGCGAAAGCAUGGGGAGCGAACAGGAUUAGAUACCCUGGUAGUCCAUGCCGUAAACGUUGGGCACUAGGUGUGGGGGACAUUCCACGUUUUCCGCGCCGUAGCUAACGCAUUAAGUGCCCCGCCUGGGGAGUACGGCCGCAAGGCUAAAACUCAAAGGAAUUGACGGGGGCCCGCACAAGCGGCGGAGCAUGCGGAUUAAUUCGAUGCAACGCGAAGAACCUUACCAAGGCUUGACAUGAACCGGAAACACCUGGAAACAGGUGCCCCGCUUGCGGUCGGUUUACAGGUGGUGCAUGGUUGUCGUCAGCUCGUGUCGUGAGAUGUUGGGUUAAGUCCCGCAACGAGCGCAACCCUCGUUCUAUGUUGCCAGCGCGUUAUGGCGGGGACUCAUAGGAGACUGCCGGGGUCAACUCGGAGGAAGGUGGGGACGACGUCAAAUCAUCAUGCCCCUUAUGUCUUGGGCUUCACGCAUGCUACAAUGGCCGGUACAAAGGGUUGCGAUACUGUGAGGUGGAGCUAAUCCCAAAAAGCCGGUCUCAGUUCGGAUUGGGGUCUGCAACUCGACCCCAUGAAGUCGGAGUCGCUAGUAAUCGCAGAUCAGCAACGCUGCGGUGAA